AACGAACGCUGGCGGCGCGCCUAAUACAUGCAAGUCGAGCGAGAAGACGUAGCAAUACGUUUGUAAAGCGGCGAACGGGUGAGGAAUACAUGGGUAACCUACCCUCGAGUGGGGAAUAACUAGCCGAAAGGUUAGCUAAUACCGCGUACGCUCCUUGGACUUCGGUUCAGGGAGGAAAGCGAUACCGUGGGUAUCGCGCUCUUGGAUGGGCUCAUGUCCUAUCAGCUUGNGGUGAGGUAACGGCUCACCAAGGCUUCGACGGGUAGCUGGUCUGAGAGGACGAUCAGCCACACUGGGACUGAGACACGGCCCAGACUCCUACGGGAGGCAGCAGUGGGGAAUAUUGGACAAUGGGCGAAAGCCUGAUCCAGCGAUGCCGCGUGUGUGAAGAAGGCCUGCGGGUUGUAAAGCACUUUCAGUAGGGAAGAAAU
This 431-nucleotide ribosomal RNA is filed under the name uncultured bacterium. Its description in RNAcentral is "bacterial SSU rRNA". It matches the Rfam family "Bacterial small subunit ribosomal RNA", at positions 29 to 451 of the family's 1533-position model. The record is from RNAcentral.